Molecule: long non-coding RNA, 201 nt
Filed under: Brassica rapa (field mustard)
Lineage: Eukaryota; Viridiplantae; Streptophyta; Magnoliopsida; Brassicales; Brassicaceae
Description: long non-coding RNA (BRAP_LNC002051)
Source: RNAcentral
AUUUCUUUAACUUCAUGAAUCAAAAGAACUUUUUUUUUUUUGAGAAAGCAAGUAACCUUGUUUGUCUUUUUUUUUAUCAAGAAAGAAAGAUAACUAACAUUAACUGCUACUUACAUUUGCAGGUUUGGAAUCUGAUUCCCAAGGCAGCAGGUAAGAAAAGGAGUGAUACAAGGAGGGGAGGAAGCAAAGGCUGGGCUUGGG